UAUUAGACGUAGGAAACAGAUCUUGAUGAGGGGGACUAUUAGAUGGAGGAAACAGAUCUUGAUGAUGGGAACUAUUAGACGGAGGAAACAGAUCUUGAUGAGGGGGACUAUUAGACGAAGGAAACAGAUAUUGUUGAGGGGGACUAUUAGACGGAGGAAACAGAUCUUGCUGAGGGGGACUAUUAGACGUAGGAAACAGAUCUUGGUGAGGGGGACUAUUAGAAGGAGGAAACAGAUCUUGGUGAGGGGGACUAUUAGACGGAGGAAACAGAUCUUGGUGAGUGGGACUAUUAGACGGAGGAAACAGAUCUUGGUGAGGGGGACUAUUAGACGGAGGAAACAGAUCUUGGUGAGGGGGACUAUUAGACGGAGGAAACAGAUCUUGGUGAGGGGGACUAUUAGACGGAGGAAACAGAUCUUGGUGA
RNAcentral lists this long non-coding RNA (425 nucleotides) under Salmo salar (Atlantic salmon). RNAcentral's name for it is "lncRNA (ENSSSAG00000117466.1)". Lineage: Eukaryota; Metazoa; Chordata; Actinopteri; Salmoniformes; Salmonidae. The record is from RNAcentral.